GACGAACGUUGGCGGCGUGCUUAAUACAUGCAAGUCAACUGAAGCAGUGGUAGCAAUAUCGCUGUGGAGGUGGCGCACGGGGGAGUAACACGUAGGUAAUCUGCCUUCAGGUCUGGCAUAACUCCGGGAAACCGGGGCUAAUAGCAGAUGAUGCAGCGGCUCGACAUCGAGACAGUUGUUAAAGCUAUGGCGCCUGAAGAUGAGCCUGCGUCUGAUUAGCUAGUUGGCGGGGUAACGGCCCACCAAGGCAACGAUCAGUAGCUGGUCUGAGAGGAUGAUCAGCCACACUGGAACUGAGACACGGUCCAGAGUCGUACGGGAGGCAGCAGUAAGGAAUAUUGCCCAAUGGGUGACAUCCUGAAGCAGCGACGCCGCGGGAGGGACGAGGGGCUUUUGCUUGUAAACCUCUGUAGGGAGAGAAAAAAAUCCCAAUCUUUGGGACAUGAUGGUAUCUCAAAAGUAAGCCCCGGCUAACUACGUG
RNAcentral lists this ribosomal RNA (481 nucleotides) under uncultured bacterium. RNAcentral's name for it is "partial 16S ribosomal RNA". It matches the Rfam family "Bacterial small subunit ribosomal RNA", at positions 28 to 507 of the family's 1533-position model. The record is from RNAcentral.